CGGACGGGUGAGUAACACGUGGGUAACCUACCUAUAAGACUGGGAUAACUUCGGGAAACCGGAGCUAAUACCGGAUAAUAUUUCGAACCGCAUGGUUCGAUAGUGAAAGAUGGUUUUGCUAUCACUUAUAGAUGGACCCGCGCCGUAUUAGCUAGUUGGUGAGGUAACGGCUCACCAAGGCCACGAUGCAUAGCCGACCUGAGAGGGUGAUCGGCCACAUUGGGACUGAGACACGGCCCAA
RNAcentral lists this ribosomal RNA (241 nucleotides) under uncultured Staphylococcus sp. Its description in RNAcentral is "partial 16S ribosomal RNA". It matches the Rfam family "Bacterial small subunit ribosomal RNA", at positions 99 to 334 of the family's 1533-position model. The record is from RNAcentral. Lineage: Bacteria; Bacillati; Bacillota; Bacilli; Caryophanales; Staphylococcaceae.